This 70-nucleotide transfer RNA is filed under the name Hynobius okiensis (Oki salamander). Its description in RNAcentral is "tRNA-Trp". It matches the Rfam family "tRNA". Rfam says of the family: Transfer RNA (tRNA) molecules are approximately 80 nucleotides in length. Their secondary structure includes four short double-helical elements and three loops (D, anti-codon, and T loops). The record is from RNAcentral. Lineage: Eukaryota; Metazoa; Chordata; Amphibia; Caudata; Hynobiidae.
AAGAACUUAGGCUAAUCUAGACCAAAGGCCUUCAAAGCCUUUAGUAGAAGUUAAAAUCUUCUAGUUUUUG